This 253-nucleotide ribosomal RNA is filed under the name uncultured bacterium. RNAcentral's name for it is "partial 16S ribosomal RNA". It matches the Rfam family "Bacterial small subunit ribosomal RNA", at positions 524 to 776 of the family's 1533-position model. The record is from RNAcentral.
UACGGAGGGUGCAAGCGUUGUCCGGAUUUAUUGGGUUUAAAGGGUGCGUAGGUGGCGCGUUAAGUCCGGGGUGAAAGCCCACAGCUCAACUGUGGAACUGCCCUGGAUACUGGCGAGCUUGAGUCCAGACGAGGUUGGCGGAAUGGAUGCUGUAGCGGUGAAAUGCAUAGAUAGCAUCCAGAACCCCGAUUGCGUAGGCAGCUGACUAGGCUGGUACUGACACUGAGGCACGAAAGCGUGGGGAGCGAACAGG